UCACCUCUCUACCCUUUGUGAACUAUUAUACCUGUUGCUUCGGCGGCGCCCGCAAGGGUGCCCGCCGGUCUCAUCAGAAUCUCUGUUUUCGAACCCGACGAUACUUCUGAGUGUUCUUAGCGAACUGUCAAAACUUUUAACAACGGAUCUCUUGGCUCCAGCAUCGAUGAAGAACGCAGCGAAACGCGAUAUGUAAUGUGAAUUGCAGAAUUCAGUGAAUCAUCGAAUCUUUGAACGCACAUGGCGCCUUCCAGUAUCCUGGGAGGCAUGCCUGUCCGAGCGUCGUUUCAACCCUCGAGCCCCUGUGGCCCGGCGUUGGGGAUCUGCCACGGCAGGCCCCUAAAACCAGUGGCGGACCCGAAGGGCCCUCUCCUUUGCGCAGUAGCAUUCGCCUCGCAUCGGGAGUCCUCGGCGUCCUGCCUCUAAACCCCCCACAAGCCCGCUUCGGCGGCACCAAGGUUGACCUCGGAUCAGGUAGGAAUACCCGCUGAACUUAAGCAUAUCAAUAAGCGGAGGA
RNAcentral lists this ribosomal RNA (517 nucleotides) under Plectosphaerella cucumerina. RNAcentral's name for it is "eukaryotic LSU rRNA". The stretch from base 132 to 285 matches the Rfam family "5.8S ribosomal RNA". The record is from RNAcentral. Lineage: Eukaryota; Fungi; Ascomycota; Sordariomycetes; Glomerellales; Plectosphaerellaceae.